Molecule: ribosomal RNA, 240 nt
Filed under: Bos taurus (domestic cattle)
Lineage: Eukaryota; Metazoa; Chordata; Mammalia; Artiodactyla; Bovidae
Description: partial 12S ribosomal RNA
Source: RNAcentral
CAUAGGUUUGGUCCCAGCCUUCCUGUUAACUCUUAAUAAACUUACACAUGCAAGCAUCUACACCCCAGUGAGAAUGCCCUCUAGGUUAUUAAAACUAAGAGGAGCUGGCAUCAAGCACACACCCUGUAGCUCACGACGCCUUGCUUAACCACACCCCCACGGGAAACAGCAGUGACAAAAAUUAAGCCAUAAACGAAAGUUUGACUAAGUUAUAUUAAUUAGGGUUGGUAAAUCUCGUGC